AUGCCUUACACAUGCAAGUCGAACGGCAGCGCGGACUUCGGUCUGGCGGCGAGUGGCGAACGGGUGAGUAAUGUAUCGGAACGUGCCUAGUAGCGGGGGAUAACUACUCGAAAGAGUAGCUAAUACCGCAUACGCCCUACGGGGGAAAGGGGGGGAUCGCAAGACCUCUCACUAUUAGAGCGGCCGAUAUCGGAUUAGCUAGUUGGUGGGGUAAAGGCUCACCAAGGCGACGAUCCGUAGCUGGUUUGAGAGGACGACCAGCCACACUGGGACUGAGACACGGCCCAGACUCCUACGGGAGGCAGCAGUGGGGAAUUUUGGACAAUGGGGGAAACCCUGAUCCAGCCAUUCCGCGUGUGCGAUGAAGGCCUUCGGGUUGUAAAGCACUUUUGGCAGGAAAGAAAUCGCACGGGUUAAUAACUCGUGUGGAUGACGGUACCUGCAGAAUAAGCACCGGCUAACUACGUGCCAGCAGCCGCGGUAAUACGUAGGGUGCAAGCGUUAAUCGGAAUUACUGGGCGUAAAGCGUGCGCAGGCGGUUCGGAAAGAAGGAUGUGAAAUCCCAGGGCUUAACCUUGGAACUGCAUUCUUAACUACCGGGCUAGAGUAUGUCAGAGGGAGGUGGAAUUCCGCGUGUAGCAGUGAAAUGCGUAGAUAUGCGGAGGAACACCGAUGGCGAAGGCAGCCUCCUGGGAUAAUACUGACGCUCAUGCACGAAAGCGUGGGGAGCAAACAAGAUUAGAUACCCUGGUAGUCCACGCCCUAAACGAUGUCAACUAGCUGUUGGGGCCUUCGGGCCUUAGUAGCGCAGCUAACGCGUGAAGUUGACCGCCUGGGGAGUACGU
This 845-nucleotide ribosomal RNA is filed under the name uncultured bacterium. RNAcentral describes it as "bacterial SSU rRNA". It matches the Rfam family "Bacterial small subunit ribosomal RNA", at positions 44 to 885 of the family's 1533-position model. The record is from RNAcentral.